UACGAAGGCCCCAAGCGUUAUCCGGAAUUACUGGGCGUAAAGCGUCUGUAGGUGGUUUCUUAAGUCUUUCCGUGAAACUUCGGGGCUCAACCCUGAAUUGCGGGAGAAACUGGGAAACUUGAGUGUGGGAGAGGCUAGCAGAACGGUAAGAGUAGGGGUGCAAUCCGUUGAUACUUACCAGAAUACCAAAAGCGAAGGCAGCUAGCUGGAACACUACUGACACUGAGAGACGAAAGCGUGGGGAGCAAAAGGG
RNAcentral lists this ribosomal RNA (253 nucleotides) under uncultured bacterium. RNAcentral describes it as "partial 16S ribosomal RNA". It matches the Rfam family "Bacterial small subunit ribosomal RNA", at positions 524 to 776 of the family's 1533-position model. The record is from RNAcentral.